UACGGAGGGUGCAAGCGUUGUCCGGAUUUAUUGGGUUUAAAGGGUGCGUAGGUGGCCUUAUAAGUCGGUGGUGAAAGCCUGCAGCUUAACUGUAGGACUGCCAUUGAUACUGUAGGGCUUGAGUACUGAUGAGGUAGGCGGAAUUGAUAGUGUAGCGGUGAAAUGCAUAGAUAUUAUCAAGAACACCGAUUGCGAAGGCAGCUUACUAAGGAGUUACUGACACUGAGGCACGAAAGCGUGGGGAGCAAACAGG
Molecule: ribosomal RNA, 253 nt
Filed under: uncultured bacterium
Lineage: Bacteria
Description: partial 16S ribosomal RNA
Rfam family: Bacterial small subunit ribosomal RNA
Source: RNAcentral